RNAcentral lists this long non-coding RNA (6618 nucleotides) under Triticum aestivum (bread wheat). Its description in RNAcentral is "long non-coding RNA (TAES_LNC016340)". The record is from RNAcentral. Lineage: Eukaryota; Viridiplantae; Streptophyta; Magnoliopsida; Poales; Poaceae.
UCACUUUUGGCUAUGCAGUCCAUUGGCGCUGGGACAUUUAGAUGGGGCGUUGGGUUCAGGGGCCAUCUUCUGUGUGUUGUUCCUAUCGUCUUAGGCUGCGGAUGUGCUCACAGGUAUGAAUCCCUUUGUGCUCUCCCAUUUGCCUCUUGCUUUGAACAAUGUUCAUCAUAAUUUCAUUAACCAAUUUUUUUUCUGAAUGGAAGUACGCCUCUCCUUCUUAGUUUUUAGUACAGGGGGAAAACACAGUUCCUUCUUUCCUUCGUCCUUAAGGGAAAAAAGAAAUGGAGGCCGUUGGCCCAAAUUUGAGUGUCUUGCCCAUCCAUUGGGAGAUGAUGUACCCAAUUAGUGAAUAUGGCGUAUCAGAUUAAUUCGCUUGCCCAUCCAUGGCCAAAGCUUGGAGGAUAUCAUGCUGGUGGCCAUUUUUUGCCGAGACCUGGACAUGUGGUGCGUAUCAGGUGUCGCCCUCCUGCUGUCCUACUUCUACCAAAUAUAAGUUAUAUUGCAACCAUAUAAGUUUUUGUGAAGUUGAAUGAUGUAGAAAACAGAUAAGAUUUUAUCUUUCCAUUGCGAAACAACUUUUUGUGUGAAAUCAGAAAUCAUACCAUAACUUUCUGUGCGGAGAAGUGCAAUUAUACUUGUUCUCUGAAUUCUGCAGUAAAGAACACAGUAAAGCAAACAUAUGGAUCUGCUUGAAUAGAGUCUAACUAAACUUGGCAAGAGACCCUUGCAUCUAAUUAUUGUUUGACAGUAAAAAAAGGAGGUUUACAUGCACUUUCACUGAGCUAUGUAGCAAAACAUGAGCUUAAUGUGAGACAUGUAUUCGUGUAGCUGCAGGUUAAGUUUUCAAGUUCAGUGAUUUACGUUGCGUCUUAAUUACCACGUAGAGGCAGUGCUAUAUGCUGAACACACACAAUGUUAUAUGGUGCACACACAAAUGCAAUCUAAUAAAAUCUUAUAAAAUCUUGUCAUCUAAUGAGAUUUCUAAGAAUCAUGUUUAUCAGAGUGGUUAUUAUUCUUAAUUUGUAAUAAGAUUUUAAAACUUUUGGCCAUGUGGAAAGUAGGCUACAUGUACACACUCUCUACGCAUGAAAUAAGUGUAUGGCAAUAGUACUAUGCAUUGUCAUGUUCUUAUUUGUUGCUUACGAAAUAAUAAGAAAUCCAAUCUAUAACAUCUUUUUGUAUACAGUGUUUCCGACCAUAUAUCAAACAUAUGGAUGUCACGCUUUUGAACCAUACAUUGUAUUGUUUAUAAUCAUUAUUAUUUGGCCCUCGUAUGCAUUUGUUUGAAUAACAAAGAAUUAGAAGAUCUCUUUGUAUACUAUAUUCUUUGCGCUAUCUUCGCUUGGGCACUCAUUGUCGUCGAUCAGCACCUUUAAUCCUUCUCUGUUUGUGACUCUUGAUAAUGCCACAUAUAGUUGUCCAUGGCAGAAGACUUGCUUAGGCAAAUAUAGGCUCACCUUGUUUAGGGAUUGACCUUGACUUUUAUUUAUCGUCAUUGCAAAACAAACUGAUAGAGGAUAUUGCCUUCUUUUCAGCACGAAGGGCCACUUCGAGUCUCUUGGUGACAUAAUGAUUUUAGGUAUGUAUACCUUGUCACCAACGUGUGUUCCUGUGAUUAUUUGUGCUUCAAUGUACCUGUUUCCCAGCUGUGUGAUAGUCAUUCUUGUGACAUUGCAUAAACCUGCCGCUUGAUUGAUGUUUCGUAGGAGCAUCACCGGCAAACCUACCUUCAGUUUAAGCUCGUGGUUUGGAAUUCCUGGGAAGGUCAUCUUGUUAAGGAACUCCGUUGGACACAUAUUCUCCAUUGUGUUGUACUUCAUUGUUGUCUUGCAUAUAGUGUCCAAGCUUAGGUAUGUCACCUCUUCACCUUGUAUUUCGCUCAUUGUGUAGUCAUUUAUCUUCUCAACUGUUUCAUUCCUUGGGCAUAGUAUUGCUCUUUCUUCGAGAAAUUCAUGGUCACAAUAGUUUUGUUGCAAGUUUGGGUACGUGCUUUUGACUAUCUCUUCUUUGGGGUCUUCUCCUUUAUGUAGAAUUAUGUCUUUAGGUAUUCUUACCCAAUCAUCUCCAUCAUCGUUUGUUUUUUUCCAUCGCCAAUUUGUAAUAUCCAUUCUGCAAAUUCAGCCACAUUUUGCCUUUGUAUUGGAUCUUCUGACAGGCACUUCAGCCGCAUGUUUUCAGUUAGUCUAAAUAUUUCGAAGUGCUUCCAUAGGUAUGACCUUUUGAUUGAGGCAUUUACUAUGUGCUCUCUCUUUCCCUUUGUUAUCAUUGGAAGUAUUUGUCUGAAGUUGCCUCCUAGCACAACUGUCAUACCACCAAAUGGCCUUUCGUCACUAUUUUGGUUUGUGAACCUUAGAAUAUCCCUAAGGCUUUUGUCUAGUGCCUCAAAGCAGUGUUUGUUUGUCAUAGGAGCCUCGUCCCACAGUAUCAGUGAGGUCUUCUUUACCAGUUCAGCCAAAUGUGAGCCUUGUUUUAUUUCACAUGUUGAUUCUUCUGUGAUAUUUAUUGGAAUGUGGAAUCUUGAGUGCGCUGUUCUUUCACCUUGGAGCAGCAAAGCUGCAAUGCCAGAUGAUGCUACCGCAAGCACUAUCUUUCCCUCUGAUCGUAGCUUCGUUGUAAUUGCUUUCCAUAGAUAGGUUUUCCCUGUGCCACCAUAGCCUUCUACAAAUAUCUAUUUUCCAAGUCCUCUCUCAGCUGAUUCCAUUAUUGCAUCAAAAGCCAUUUUCUGGUCGUGGUUAAGAUUGUUUAUUAUUAUUUGGUGCUCACUCUUUAGUGCCUCCAUGUCAUAGCUAAGUUCUUCGUUUAUCAUCCUGUUUCCAAGUUGUUCAAGUUUUGUAGCAUUUGGUAGUUCUAUGUCUGGAUAGUCCUUUAGUGUCUUUCCUGCUUGCCUCAUUAGUUUCUCUAUCUCAAUCAAAGCAUAUGCUUUUUUCUGUGAAUCAGUAAGCUGCAGCGUAGGAAAGUUUAGGAUAAUUCUUCUUUUGUACUGGAUAUCUUCAGACAGUGCCUCCCAUGUUGAAUCCCACAACAUCUUUGGGCUGGUCACCUCACAAUGGCAUAAAAUUGUGGUGAAUAGUUGUCGUAACUGUGUCCCUGAUCCCCAGCUUGAUGCUUCAUUGAUGCAUUCAAUCCACUCACCAUCGUCAUCAAGAAAUCCAAGCGCUUGGCAUGCUGAUUUGUAUGUUGGGUGAACAACUCCAUUAACUGUUCUAAUAUCCUCAAAUGAUGUGCAUCCUUUCUUGGUGUUUAGAAGCAUUCUCAUAUAAUACCGGUCGCCACUUGCAGGGUGUGCAUAGUAGAUUCUUCCAAUCGCAAAGCCCCUUUUCCGCUCCUCCCAAGUUUUGCUUUCACUUUUCCAUACAAAUUUUGAUGGGAAUACUGCAUAGGUUAAUUCUUUUCCCACCUCAUGUAUUUUGUUUGCCUCCAUCCACUCAGUGAACUUUGUACUUGUGGAUCCUGGUCUUCUUACUAUCUUCUCGAUGUCAGUCGAGUCCGGAAAAAUGACUUGUUGCUCAUUUUCAAUGUGGAAUGGCAGUCUCUCGACGGGUGGAUCACGAUGGUGAAGAUCAAACUGGAAUAUCCGCCAGCAUGCUUCGGUUGUUGAUAUGUAUCUCAUCUCUAGGUAUUUCCUGAUUUCAUCAUAAUCGUUUGCCGCAUCCCUUUCCUUUAGUAAGGCUGUUACUUGGUCGUCGUCUUUAUGGAUGUACUUAAAUAGGUACUUAAUUGACCUGGACCUGUUGCACCACUCGACAUUUAUGUGAGCUUGGAAUUUGACCAAAAGGUUUCUGUUGUAUGGCAUGACAAAUAUGUUGUCGAGCAUUGCUCCUCCCUUUUUAAUCUUCCUUCCAUUGUCUCGCCUUCUAUAUACUGGAAAGCCAUCCUCAUCGAUUGUGCUAUCGACAUUGUAUCCUUUUGGGAAGUGUUUACUACAUCUGUUCUCCAUCAUGCAUGGCGAUUUUGUAUUUGCCUCUCCGCAAGGCCCGUGCAUCAUGAAAUUCUCAACAGCUACAUAUCCAUCCGGAUCGACAUCUUUGUCUGGGAUCUCCACACUGAUUAUUUGGUCAAUUUCUGAUGGUCCUUUGCACUUGUAAUUAUCUUUGAGGAAUACCAGUAUGUGCGCAUGCGGGAGUCCCCUCUUCUGGAACUCUAUCACGUAGAUAACUGCAUUGAUUGAAUACAUAGUUUGGUUUUGUUACAUUUCAGAAGCAUUUUAUUAAAUAGACAAAGGCUAUAGUGUGCUAAAACUAUUAAAAAUUUAGAUGCUAUUAGUUGCGAUGAGUAGUCGACUGAUCUUACUUGCUAUCGUUUCUCCAAAGUGUUUCUUCACAAGAUGUCUCUCAUCAACUCCUUUAGUUUUAUCAUGAAUACUCGAUCAACAAUAUCUGGCCGGUCGGCUGGAUUUAAGCCUCCUCCUGCUUCAUCUAGCAUGUAUUGGAUCUCGGGCCACUUUGCAUUGCAUGUGAAUGUUAUAAACAGGUCUGGAUAUCCAGCCCAACGGCAUAUUGCAAAAGCGUCUUGCAAGUUCUGUGCCUUGUAUCUUCUGCCUCCUGUAAAAGAUGAAGGUACAAUUAUCCUCUUUCCAACCUGCUCUGUUCUGGUGUCCCCUCGCUCAAUCGCGUCUUGCAGUCCACUAUAAAGUUCAGUUCGUAACUUCCCUUGAUUAUUCCUGAUCUAGUUUAGUCUGUUUUGCUCAAUGCAUGUGUAAACAUCUACCCAAAAUUGCAGCGAUAGAUGUCUAGACGUUAGCAGUGACAUUCCUUGGUCAGGUCUUUGCAGUAGGUAGUAUGCGUAGUAGUCCAGCAUAGUUACAUAUUUCCUGCUUUUGUCACCUUCUUUUCUUCGCUUGUAAGGUAUUUCAAGCUUGAAGCCGUCUUCUCCGUAUGGAAACAACAUCAGGUAUUGCAUCGACAUGAACUUUGGAUGGAUUUCUGAUAUUCUGUGAGGUUCCAUAUUUUUGUACUCGACAACGUUGUCUCGUCCUUCGCUCUCUCCAGUUGGAUCUCUUACAACCAAUGCUGCAACUUCCUAUGCAGAUGGAAGGUUGUGUGUUCCGUUCCUUUUCCCAAGUAUCUGAAGUGUGUAAUCGUGGUAGUCUUCUUCUUUGAAUCUAUCUCUUGCCAUUCUGAAAGAUUUCGCGAGGAUGUUGUUCUCAUCAAGCAUAUUUUGUAGUUUUUCGACAAUGGCAGUGUUCACCGUUGAUUUUUUAUCAUUGCAUCUUGAAGCAUCUAUCCUGUUUUGAACCUCAUUUUCUGUCUGAUAGAUGUAUAGCUGGGCGAAUCGAGGUUUGUUACCUUCUUCAGGUAGUAGACUUCCGAUACGGUGGUAGUUCUGGCCAUGCAGUCUAAAAACAUAUGGUCCUUUGCCUUCGUUUAUUUCUUUGUCAACAGCUCCUCCCAUUGAUGUGAAUGAGAACAUUGAGUUGUAUGACCUGAUGUUUUCUUUGAAGUUUGUUGCAUCACUUCCUUCACCUGUUAAUAGUCCUGCGAGGUAAGGUGGAGGAUAUGCUAUCUUUGGUAGGUCAAUCUUACCUUGUUUACAGCAAAUUCUGAAAGAAGGUUUUUUGGUUCCUUUAUGAGAAUUUAAUCUUUCCUCACACCAUAGUAUUGCAUUGAAAUGUUCGCAUCUAUAUGUUGGCUUUCCAAAGUUCCAUAUCGUGCUAUCAUAACUUCUGGACGUAGUGCUGCUGCUUGUUUCUAUGAUGUUGCUUUGAAGGUCAUUGUCCCUCCCAUUUCUCCUUGAACGCUUGACAUCUCUUAUUUCAUUGAUUUGUUCCUUUCUCUUCCGUGAAGCAUCUUCUUCUAUUUUAUUGGUUGUUUCAUGUGUAUUCCUGCAUCUCUUACUCCUUUUUUCUUGUAGUUGUUGUUUCCUCCUGAUAAUAGCUUCUUUAGCUUCUUUUGCAAGUGGGCCUGCUGAUUUUGAUGUAUACUGUCCCUUCAUUUCUGCAUUUGAUAUUCUUUUAGCAAUAUAGUAUCAAAUAUUUGAAAGGUACUUUAUGCACAAUGUCAUAAACAAAACAAUGUAUGCACUAAAUAAGAGAUGCUGGCUGCAUGUAGAAACAACCUAUAAUUCUUAUCAAUCAUGCUUUUCAGGAUUGUUGUGUUGCGUGGUUCGAGCUGCAGUGUAUGGCAUUAUUGGUGUGACAGUGUGGUUGUUUCUCAGUGCACGACAAUUGCUCCAUGGGAAUUACUACGGCGAAGUACUCUCAAAGUCAUUUUUAGCACUACACGUAAAAUUAUUUGGUUUUGUAAUAUUUACAAAGGGAAAUCUUUCAAAUGUAUAUUUUAGAGAAGUACAAAAAAUUAGUCAUUACAUGAAGAUAUAAAAAGGUGAAUGAUAUACCUGAUAGUGUCUUCUUGCCUUGGUUUUUAAAAUUUGUAAAGCUUCACACGCUUCUGCUAAUAAAUUAUUGUCACAAUUGUAUCUUUGCUGCAAAGCAAAUCCUGUACUGAUCCUGGAAAGUAUUUCGUGUGAUGUACAAAAUUAUUAGAGCAUAUCUUUCUAUUGCUGCCAUGAUUUUAUCAGUCUGUAUGUCACUUUUAGUUCAUCACAGAAGCUAGUACUGUUUUCUAAAAGAAAAUAGAGCUUAUGUGAAGAGCCAAGGCAUGACGUGUGAGAAUAGCUUAU